This is a non-coding RNA of Chlorocebus sabaeus (green monkey), 1003 nucleotides long. Lineage: Eukaryota; Metazoa; Chordata; Mammalia; Primates; Cercopithecidae. The record is from RefSeq and is a predicted model, not a curated record.
UUCCAUGAGUUGGAUGCUCUGGGCCCCGGGCCACACCCUGUGACUUGCGGGCAGUGAGCUUCACGGGAAGGCGUGUGAGUAAGCGUGCUCUCGCGUUGGAAGUCUCCUUGCCUCAUCCCUAAUCAUGUGAUCUAGGCUGAUAAGAAGCUAAUGCCAGGAAAAGAAAAUGUGUGUCUUUUGCCAACUCUCCAUCUGCUGGGCGGAGCUCCCGUCUGUAAUCCAGCCUCAGGCCAGAUUGCCGAUCGCUUCCCUCACCGCCGAGUCACAGAAGCACACAAUGUAUACACCAUGUAUCUGCAUGAAAACGAUGCAUCUUCCCGGAGCACUGAUCUUCCUCCACGAGGACUCACGGAAACAUUGUCUUCUAUAUUAAAAUGACCCAGACCCGUGGUGAACACCUGGCAGCUGGAGCGAUAGAGAGGCUCUCGAUGGUUUGGUCCAACAUUGAGCCACGGAGAUGUGUGUGGUCACCCAGAGAUGGCGUUCUGCCGAAAACCUGGCAUGGGCUCUAGACAGGAUGAACUGAGAAAUGCCACUAUUAAUUUUAUAUGCGAGGAUCCAAUUGCUUUUGCAGAAGGACACACAUUCCAGACAUUAACCCCGCACUUAAGUGCAGCCCACGUAUCAGUGGGGAUAGAUGGGUAAACGGCGAAGACUUGAGUAGCUGGAGCUGAGCGAGGCGGCCAAACAGGGCUCCACAGACCUGCCCAGGCUCCAAUCUGAUGGUGGCAAGUCCUCCCUGCCAGGGAACGGGGUCCUAAACUCCCUCCUCCCACAGAGCACAGGCAGAAGGCCCACCUGGGGCACGACAUGGGCCCUGGACGCUGGGAGCUGAGGGAUGUCGCAGGCUGCAUCCAAGCCUCCCACUCACUCAUCCACAGAGCAGGAUGGAGACGCUGUCCCCAAGCACCAAGGAGCUGUGAUGUCAAACUGCAGAGCGUGUGAGUGGGAAAAAAAGCCUCCUUGAGAAAACCACUGGAAACAACUCUAACACUGGAACUUU